This 73-nucleotide transfer RNA is filed under the name Ipomoea nil (Japanese morning glory). It matches the Rfam family "tRNA". From Rfam's summary of the family: Transfer RNA (tRNA) molecules are approximately 80 nucleotides in length. Their secondary structure includes four short double-helical elements and three loops (D, anti-codon, and T loops). The record is from Rfam by way of RNAcentral. Lineage: Eukaryota; Viridiplantae; Streptophyta; Magnoliopsida; Solanales; Convolvulaceae.
GCGCUCAUGGCCUAAUGGAUAAGGCGUUUGACUUCUAAUCAAGCGAUUGUGGGUUCGAGUCCCAUUGGGCGUG